GGGCAUGCUAUACCAGCUUGUGAGGACUUGUCAGCAUUGACUUAUGCAGACAUGAAGAUUGACACCUUCUUUCUGUGAAAAUCCAGAGGGACAACUGGGUACCAAGCACCGAGAGUUUGGAAAGCAAAAUGUGCCAAGAUGUACCUUCCUGUGUGGCCCUGCAUGGCAGCCUUCUCACAGAUAAAGCUG
This is a long non-coding RNA of Hyaena hyaena (striped hyena), 189 nucleotides long. RefSeq lists it as uncharacterized. The record is from RefSeq and is a predicted model, not a curated record. NCBI's taxonomy places the organism in Eukaryota, Metazoa, Chordata, Mammalia, Carnivora, Hyaenidae. The transcript has 3 exons.